AUCUAAGUACCCCGAGGAAAAGAAAUCAACCGAGAUUCCGAAAGUAGCGGCGAGCGAAAUUGGAUUAGCCCUUAAGCUUUACAUGUGUUAGACGAACGGUCUGGAAAGUCCGACGAUACAGGGUGAUAGUCCCGUAGUUGACGAUGCAUGUUCAGUGAAAUCGAGUAGGGCGGGACACGUGUUAUCCUGUCUGAAUAUGGGGGGACCAUCCUCCAAGGCUAAAUACUCCUGACUGACCGAUAGUGAACCAGUACCGUGAGGGAAAGGCGAAAAGACCCCAUGUGAGGGGAGUGAAAUAGAACCUGAAMCGUGUAACGUACAAGCAGUAGGAGCACCUUCGUGGUGUGACUGCGUACCUUUUGUAKAAUGGUUCAGCG
This 377-nucleotide ribosomal RNA is filed under the name Vibrio sp. 03_296. RNAcentral's name for it is "bacterial LSU rRNA". It matches the Rfam family "Bacterial large subunit ribosomal RNA", at positions 200 to 627 of the family's 2925-position model. Lineage: Bacteria; Pseudomonadati; Pseudomonadota; Gammaproteobacteria; Vibrionales; Vibrionaceae. The record is from RNAcentral.